GAAAACCCAUUGUUGGUGCUCUUCUCGAUGGCCUAGUCCUCUUUUUACCCCCACUUUUUACCGGUAUCUGGUUUGAGAUAUGGUUCCACCACCUUGAUGUGGAGCCGCCAUGUCGUCUAAAUACGGGAAGGGCGUUGGGUUCGAUCUAGGGUUCAUGGUCCUGGACCACAGUGCUUCAAAAUUCAGAACUGGGUUCGAAGGUGCUUGGGUUCUCUUGGCUAGGCCUGGAGAAGGAUUCGAAAUAAGAGAGAGAAACUUGGUGAGAGAGGGAAGGGGUGUUCGUCUGCGCUGGAGGAGGGCGCCCAUGGCCAGUGCUGGCCGACCCGCGAACAAAAGAAGGUGUGAAACUAUCGUUUUUUGAAGGUUUAUGCAGGCUCUGGCCAUAGGGAGAGAGGGGGUGUACAGACACAGAGGAAAAAGGGAAGGGAGGAUUGAAAAGAAAGGCGACUUGGAAUCGGGAUUCCACUUCCUUGAAAGAUUUGGGGAAAACUGCAGCGCCAGGUCGGGUCCGGUUCUAGAGAGAGGCGUCCGAAAUCUCCUGUGUGAUACGGUAUUUCAAACACCAAACAAACUUUUAAAAUUAAUCAUCUUUUUGUCUGGUAUUUGAAUUGUUACACAUAAGAGCUCGAAUUUCAUGCAAAUAACCGUCCAUUUGGUAAUUGACCGCUCUUAAAAGUGUCUGUAUAUAAUUUGCUCUUAAAAUAUUAGAUGCCCUCACUCACAUAUGUGUUUUAGAAUACGGUUAACACAAUACAACAAAAGUAAAUUGUUGUUUAGUGCCAUCAAGAAUAAAC
This 794-nucleotide long non-coding RNA is filed under the name Amborella trichopoda. RNAcentral's name for it is "long non-coding RNA (ATRI_LNC005084)". Lineage: Eukaryota; Viridiplantae; Streptophyta; Magnoliopsida; Amborellales; Amborellaceae. The record is from RNAcentral.